GGAGGUGGUAGUUCAUCAGUCAAGGUGUGGGAUACUAAUCGGUGGGAACUUGUUACCACGAUGUCCAUUCCUCGUCAAGGAGCCCCACAACCAUCUGAUAAAAGCACCAACAAGAAAUUUGUCCUUUCAGUUGCAUGGAGUCCUGAUGGUAGUCUUCUUGCUUGUGGAUCAGUUGAUGGGACUAUCUCUGUUUUUGAUGUAGCUCGCGCCAAGUUCCUUCACUUCUUAGAUGGCCAUACCAUGCCUGUUCGUUCUCUCGUGUUUUCACCUUCACUUCACGACUCAAGAAUACUCUUCUCAGCAUCAGAUGACGGUCAUGUGCAUAUGUAUGAUGCUGAGGGGAAAACAUUGCUCACGUCUUUAUCGGGUCAUGCAAGUUGGGUUCUGAGUGUUGAU
Molecule: unclassified non-coding RNA, 396 nt
Filed under: Hevea brasiliensis (rubber tree)
Lineage: Eukaryota; Viridiplantae; Streptophyta; Magnoliopsida; Malpighiales; Euphorbiaceae
Source: RNAcentral